Molecule: long non-coding RNA, 1267 nt
Filed under: Junco hyemalis (dark-eyed junco)
Lineage: Eukaryota; Metazoa; Chordata; Aves; Passeriformes; Passerellidae
Description: lncRNA (ENSJHYG00000016277.1)
Source: RNAcentral
AAUAUCAGUGUCUUAGAACAAGACAAUCCUAGUGAUCACAAAAAGAGACCAGCAAGGUUCUGUGCAUCUUGAAUACAGUGUAUGGAUACUCUGACUCUCUGUCUUUGAUGUUGGGUAAUUAUUUAUUUCUAUGCAGACUGGACUCUAAAUGCUGCUGAACUGGAAUUCAGUUGUCCUGUGUUGCUCAGCAAGUGUGAACAGACCACUCCUGAAAGACAUACCACUCCUCUGAAGCAGACUGUCCUUGUACCUCAGAAAAUGGAGACAUUAAUUCACAAAUUAGUGUGGCAUUACUAAAACAAACUCCACCCUCUUCUGAAAGAAUGAGUUUUGAAUUGUGAACCAUCCAGUCUACUUCUGCCUUCAGAAAAUGAAACAUCACAAACUUCAGAAACUUAAGAACUUGUUAGCUUGAACUCCAUCUCUAAGAAGGGGACAUGGGAAAGGACCUUUCCCACCAAGUCUUAAAUUAAUUCUUUAAGCUGUGAACCAGUUAAUCCUGUCUUUAUUAUUGUUGUAGCACAAACUGACUCAAUGGGAUGUCUGGACUGAACCAGAGGCAAGAACCUCUCCUCCCAAGCAGAGAGGAUUCCUGGGAGAAGCUCAUGCUGGAAUGCAGAAGGGAGUGGGCAAACCCAAAACACUGAGGCAUCAAACACACCAGAGGUGGCUUUUUGGUUCACUCCUGCAGAUAGAUUAUGCAGACAUGUUCAGCAUAUGGAGCAGAACAGAUCCCAACUCUGUUCAAUCAAAUGCAAAGUACCUUCAUGUGCUGCUGCUUCAGAGUGUGAACUCCCAGAGAAGGCAACGCAUUGAAGUGUAUUAUGAACUGAGAGCAUGAAAACACCCAGGUAGUCUUGGAAAAAUCAAGUUAAUCAGUAAGUAUUCACUGGAGUUGGCAGGCAAGCACAUUUUACAAAUGCUUGUUUCAUAAAUAUUUAUUUUAAGAAUUGAAUUUUGGGAGUUUUUAGACAAAAGAAGCCAUAAAACAGUGAAGAGAAACUUCAAGAUUGAAAUUCUUGUGUGUGUGAUUUUUUAUUUUUUGCUUUAUAUUUCUUAUAAUUUCUUUUCUUCUUUUUGAUUUUGAAAGAACUGAAGAAACUAAAAUCUACAAAAACCAGUCUCAGGCAGAACGCAGAGCCAGCAUCAGGUAUCCAGAAGAAUGAGUCAGUAAUAGAGAAACCUACAGCUUGUAACCAAAAUGCCUGGAGCUGUUUGCACUAAGUUAUCCUGAAUAAACUAUGUGUUGUGUAUUUCCUGAAGAGCA